RNAcentral lists this ribosomal RNA (532 nucleotides) under Aspergillus sydowii. RNAcentral's name for it is "eukaryotic LSU rRNA". It matches the Rfam family "Eukaryotic large subunit ribosomal RNA", at positions 106 to 653 of the family's 3401-position model. Lineage: Eukaryota; Fungi; Ascomycota; Eurotiomycetes; Eurotiales; Aspergillaceae. The record is from RNAcentral.
AGCUCAAAUUUGAAAUCUGGCCCCUCCGGGGUCCGAGUUGUAAUUUGCAAAGGAUGCUUCGGGUGCGGCCCCUGUCUAAGUGCCCUGGAACGGGCCGUCAGAGAGGGUGAGAAUCCCGUCUUGGGCAGAGUGCCCGUGCCCGUGUGAAGCUCCUUCGACGAGUCGAGUUGUUUGGGAAUGCAGCUCAAAAUGGGUGGUAAAUUUCAUCUAAAGCUAAAUACCGGCCGGAGACCGAUAGCGCACAAGUAGAGUGAUCGAAAGAUGAAAAGCACUUUGAAAAGAGAGUUAAACAGCACGUGAAAUUGUUGAAAGGGAAGCGCUUGCAACCAGACUCGGCCUCGGGGUUCAGCCAGCAUUCGUGCUGGUGUACUUCCCCGGGGCCGGGCCAGCGUCGGUUUGGGCGGCCGGUCAAAGGCCCCAGGAAUGUAUCGUCCUCCGGGACGUCUUAUAGCCUGGGGUGCAAUGCGGCCAGCCUGGACCGAGGAACGCGCUUCGGCACGGACGCUGGCGUAAUGGUCGCAAACGACCCGUC